UACGGAGGAUCCGAGCGUUAUCCGGAUUUAUUGGGUUUAAAGGGUGCGUAGGCUGGUAAUUAAGUCAGUGGUGAAAUACUCCGGCUCAACCGGGGGGCUGCCGUUGAUACUGGUUACCUUGAGUUUAGAUGAUGUGGGCGGAAUGUGUCAUGUAGCGGUGAAAUGCAUAGAGAUGACACAGAACACCGAUAGCGAAGGCAGCUCACAAAGCUAUUACUGACGCUGAUGCACGAAAGCGUGGGGAGCAAACAGGAUUAGA
This 259-nucleotide ribosomal RNA is filed under the name uncultured prokaryote. RNAcentral's name for it is "partial 16S ribosomal RNA". It matches the Rfam family "Bacterial small subunit ribosomal RNA", at positions 524 to 782 of the family's 1533-position model. The record is from RNAcentral.